This is a non-coding RNA of Nerophis lumbriciformis (worm pipefish), 1200 nucleotides long. Lineage: Eukaryota; Metazoa; Chordata; Actinopteri; Syngnathiformes; Syngnathidae. The record is from RefSeq and is a predicted model, not a curated record.
AAUGCAUACUGAGGUGAUGUGUGGAUUAGUGACAGACAAGUUAAAAAAUAUUAAACACUUAUUUUACAGACAAUUUUACUCAUGUAUUUGUCUCCUCCUCAUACUUUUCCAUGAUCGGCCUCAUCCCAUGGCUGCUGUACCCUGCUGACUGGCUUAGUCCAGUUGUGAAGCUGCACAUAAGUUCAUUGAUAGAAAACGGUCUUUGAUGUCAGAGGCCAAGCCUUAACUGAUGCAAAAAUCACACUGUAAUGCUGACAUUUAGGCUACUACAUCAGGGUUUGUUGAUGCUGGGAAUUGAACCCUGAUCUCCCAGGGGAAAGGGCAAGGUUUGGUGUGUUGGGCCAGGGAGCUGGCAUGAUGGUGGCUGUCAUGUGUGAGUUAAGAGCUGGUUGCCCCAUGGAUUGCACCACAUGGUCUGGUCUUCCCUGCCUACAAACCAGGUGUGACAUACCAAUAGUGAUUACUGUGAACAGAACAGAACAAAGAAGAACAGGAGAGAGAACAGAAGAAACUUCCGAGAAUCAAGGCUCAGGAGAGUGAAGAAUGUAGAGAGGAUGAAAGGAGCAUUGAAGCUCAUAUCAAUGAAAUGUCUACAGAGAUGCUUAAGGUACACCCAGAUCUGAACUCUUUAAAGGAGAGAAUGAGACGAACCUAUGCAUACCGAAAGACCUUCAUGGCAACUGCCAAGGCAGAGGAAAUCAUCGAAACGUUUCCCGCACUGAAGCUUCCAAAAAUAGUUGGUAUCUUCAAGCAUUGAAUUGACCAUAUUUAAUUGUAUGUGUAUUAUUUCAUUUAUGAUCAUCAAGUAUUUUGAGAUGACACUUGUUAUCCCUCCUUACAGCUUCUGUGGGAGAUGAAGGAGCAAUUUCUUUGUAGAAGCUGAUCGCAGAAUGGUCACAGAGCUGGAUCGAAUGGCAACGAAGAUGGUUCAAAGAGCAUCUAUGUGUGACCUAAAGGACUGCUGCCAGAGGGCAAUCAAUGCCUGCCUGGAUGAUUCAGUAAGACGAGGACUCAUUAGGGAUGCAGCAAUUCUACUGCUGCCUUCCAUUUUCAGAGAGGACUCAUCCUUUCUAUACACUCUACUGGAGGAGCCAAGCGUGCCUACUCCAGCAAUCAUGCUCCAUAACACACACGAGGGGAACCCUUUGCAGGCACAAAGAAUAACCCUAUACCUGGAUGGUAUACAGGUUUUGACUGAGG